UACAGAGGGUGCGAGCGUUAAUCGGAAUUACUGGGCGUAAAGCGUGCGUAGACGGUUUUGUAAGUCGGAUGUGAAAUCCCCGGGCUCAACCUGGGAAUUGCAUUCGAGACUGCAAGGCUUGGGUGCGGAAGAGGGAAGCGGAAUUUCCGGUGGAGCGGUGAAAUGCGUAGAGAUCGGAAAGAACACCAACGGCGAAAGCACUCUGCUGGGCCGACACUGACACUGAGAGACGAAAGCUAGGGGAGCGAAUGGG
This 253-nucleotide ribosomal RNA is filed under the name uncultured bacterium. Its description in RNAcentral is "partial 16S ribosomal RNA". It matches the Rfam family "Bacterial small subunit ribosomal RNA", at positions 524 to 776 of the family's 1533-position model. The record is from RNAcentral.